CGUGGAGCGAUUUGUCUGGUUUAUUCCGAUAACGAGCGAGACUCUAGCCUACUAACUAGUCCACACAUUGCUACUGUGUUGUGCGACUUCUUAGAGGGAUUUUCGGUGUUCAGCCGCACGAGAUUGAGCAAUAACAGGUCUGUGAUGCCCUUAGAUGUCCGGGGCUGCACGCGCGCUACACUGGCGAAAUCAGCGUGCUUGUCCUUUCUCGAAAGAGAUUGGUAAACCAUUGAAAAUUUGCCGUGAUUGGGAUCGGAAAUUGCAAUUAUUUUCCGUGAACGAGGAAUUCCAAGUAAGUGCGAGUCAUCAACUCGCGUUGAUUACGUCCCUGCCCUUUGUAC
RNAcentral lists this ribosomal RNA (341 nucleotides) under Nematoda environmental sample. RNAcentral's name for it is "SSU rRNA". It matches the Rfam family "Eukaryotic small subunit ribosomal RNA", at positions 1300 to 1665 of the family's 1831-position model. Lineage: Eukaryota; Metazoa; Nematoda. The record is from RNAcentral.